Molecule: ribosomal RNA, 443 nt
Filed under: uncultured bacterium
Lineage: Bacteria
Description: partial 16S ribosomal RNA
Rfam family: Bacterial small subunit ribosomal RNA
Source: RNAcentral
CCUACGGGUGGCAGCAGUUAGGAAUAUUGGGCAAUGGAGGAAACUCUGACCCAGCAACGCCGCGUGAAGGAAGAAGGUUUUCGGAUUGUAAACUUCUGAUCUGUGGGACGAAGAAAGUGACGGUACCACAGGAGAAAGCCACGGCUAACUACGUGCCAGCAGCCGCGGUAAUACGUAGGGGGCAAGCGUUAUCCGGAUUUACUGGGUGUAAAGGGAGCGUAGACGGCGUUGCAAGUCUGAAGUGAAAGCCCGGGGUUCAACCCCGGGACUGCUUUGGAAACUGUAUGGCUGGAGUGCUGGAGAGGCAAGCGGAAUUCCUAGUGUAGCGGUGAAAUGCGUAGAUAUUAGGAAGAACACCAGUGGCGAAGGCGGCUUGCUGGACAGUAACUGACGUUGAGGCUCGAAAGCGUGGGGAGCAAACAGGAUUAGAUACCCUAGUAGUC